GGGGGUGACUGGCUUCGACAGGUGCUGGUCGGUCCCGGGAGAGCGAGCCGAGUACGUCCGGUCACCUCGCAAAACUGUCCGGGCAACCUUAUAGGUGCCAACGACGAAAUGGCCCUGGCGGCCUA
Molecule: transfer-messenger RNA, 125 nt
Filed under: Euzebyaceae bacterium
Lineage: Bacteria; Bacillati; Actinomycetota; Nitriliruptoria; Euzebyales; Euzebyaceae
Description: partial transfer-messenger RNA
Rfam family: transfer-messenger RNA
About the family: Bacterial tmRNA, also known as 10Sa RNA or SsrA, is named for its dual tRNA and mRNA-like properties. Its role is to liberate the mRNA from a stalled ribosome.
Source: RNAcentral